Molecule: ribosomal RNA, 516 nt
Filed under: Vibrio agarivorans
Lineage: Bacteria; Pseudomonadati; Pseudomonadota; Gammaproteobacteria; Vibrionales; Vibrionaceae
Description: bacterial SSU rRNA
Rfam family: Bacterial small subunit ribosomal RNA
Source: RNAcentral
UAUUGGAAACGAUAGCUAAUACCGCAUAAUGUCUUCGGAGCAAAGAGGGGGACCUUCGGGCCUCUCGCGUCAAGAUUAGCCCAGGUGGGAUUAGCUAGUUGGUGAGGUAAUGGCUCACCAAGGCAACGAUCCCUAGCUGGUCUGAGAGGAUGAUCAGCCACACUGGAACUGAGACACGGUCCAGACUCCUACGGGAGGCAGCAGUGGGGAAUAUUGCACAAUGGGCGCAAGCCUGAUGCAGCCAUGCCGCGUGUGUGAAGAAGGCCUUCGGGUUGUAAAGCACUUUCAGUCGUGAGGAAGGUAUCGUAGUUAAUAGCUGCGUUAUUUGACGUUAGCGACAGAAGAAGCACCGGCUAACUCCGUGCCAGCAGCCGCGGUAAUACGGAGGGUGCGAGCGUUAAUCGGAAUUACUGGGCGUAAAGCGCAUGCAGGUGGAUGAUUAAGUCAGAUGUGAAAGCCCGGGGCUCAACCUCGGAACAGCAUUUGAAACUGGUCAUCUAGAGUACUGUAGAGGGG